UGGUGCAUCUUCUCCUGCUCCUCUUCAUCAAGCACACGAUUGCCAUCUCGGUCAAACCUGAUUUCAAGACCAUCCAAUUAAACUUUCUCCUUUGACAAAUAAAGACCCAAAAGGGGCUCAGUGACUUCCUGGUCCAACGGAACAUAGGCUGGAAGAGGCAAACUUGGGAUUUAAAUUCAGGGUGUUGGUGAACUCCUGGAACUGGAGGCCCGGCUCCCCAGCCCGCAGAGCCCUCUGCACAUCAGAC
Molecule: long non-coding RNA, 247 nt
Organism: Sarcophilus harrisii (Tasmanian devil)
Lineage: Eukaryota; Metazoa; Chordata; Mammalia; Dasyuromorphia; Dasyuridae
Exons: 3
Source: RefSeq, a predicted model, not a curated record